Molecule: ribosomal RNA, 449 nt
Filed under: uncultured bacterium
Lineage: Bacteria
Description: partial 16S ribosomal RNA
Rfam family: Bacterial small subunit ribosomal RNA
Source: RNAcentral
CCUACGGGGGGCUGCAGUGGGGAAUAUUGGACAAUGGGCGCAAGCCUGAUCCAGCAAUGCCGCGUGUGUGAAGAAGGCCUGCGGGUUGUAAAGCACUUUAAGCCGGAAAGAAGGCUGCAAGGCUAAUAUCCUUGUAGAUUGACGUUACCGGCAGAAUAAGCACCGGCUAACUCCGUGCCAGCAGCCGCGGUAAUACGGAGGGUGCGAGCGGGCGUCGGGAUUGCGUGGCGGAAUCGUUGCGUAGGCUGUUAAAGCCCUGGGCUUAACCUGGGAACUGCAGUGGAAACUGGCGGGCUAGAGUAUGGUAGAGGAGGGUGGAAUUUCCGGUGUAGCAGUGAAAUGCGUAGAGAUCGGAAGGAACACCAGUGGCGAAGGCGGCUCUCUGGACCAAUACUGACGCUGAGGUGCGAAAGCGUGGGGAGCAAACAGGAUUAGAUACCCCAGUAGUC